Long non-coding RNA from Cucumis melo (muskmelon), 1534 nucleotides. RefSeq lists it as uncharacterized. The record is from RefSeq and is a predicted model, not a curated record. The transcript has 7 exons. NCBI's taxonomy places the organism in Eukaryota, Viridiplantae, Streptophyta, Magnoliopsida, Cucurbitales, Cucurbitaceae.
UUAAUUUUUUAUUUUGUAAAAAAUUAAAGUUUUCUCUCUUUUGCUUUACCUUUUUCCCCUUUCUUCUCUACCAUCUUCGCGGAAGAAGCACCAAAAACUCCAACGUCAGUCUUCUCCAUCUCUACUGGCCGGCCACACAAAAGGACCUUUCUUCUCAUCGACGGUGACCCACAACGUUUCGGCCAGCCACUGAAGGGAACUUUUCGUCCCGCCACGACGAGUUUCGGCCAUAUGCUUUUCGGAUGGCGAUGUUUAAGCUAAGCAGAAGCUAUACGCAUUUUGGACGGUGACGGUGACCCACGGUGAUUUGGUUAUGCAAAACAAAAGAUCAAAUUUUCCAAACCAUUUUUUCUUUGGAACUUCCACGUCCUCUUACCAGAUUGAAGGGGGUUAUGUUGAAGAUGGAAGGGGAAAGAGUAAUUGGGAUGUUUUUUCUCAUAUUCUAGGUUAAACCCACUUUCUAAUUUCUCAUUUUGAUAGAAACUCAGUUUUACAAUUUGCCUAAAAAAGUUUUCAUGGAAUUUGCAAAAAAAAUUAAGAACAAUGACACAAAUUGGUCACCGAACAAUUAAAGCCGGUGAAUGGCUUGUAUAAAGUGAAGAAAUGGAUAGAAGACCGCGGAUUGAAACGUGCGGCAGUUACAAAUGCCCCUCUGCCGAAUGCUGAGCUUAUGAUCUCAAUGCUUGGUCUUACGGAUUUUUUUGAGGCUAUCAUUAUAGCAACGGAAGUCUGAGCAUGCAUUGCCUGUAAAAUAUCAGCAACAAAAACUAUCUUUUCAUCAAUAUCAAUCUGUUGUUUUCGACACUUUAUGUUGCAAUAACUUUGAUCACCCCUGUUUCAUAGAACAAACAAAAAAAAUAUCAGCAACAAAAACUCAACUACAAAUUGAGAGAACUUCUUCCAAACGAAAAAGAAAAAGAUGGGCUUCUAGCAGAUAUCAUGAGUAAAAGAAAACAUGAGGAAUGGGAGCGGGUCGCAAGUUGAAGUCCCACUGUAUAAAACAAAGUUGGGCUGACAAAGCAUACAAGAAAUCCCAUCUUGGAAACGAGUGGAAGAAACCAUUUGCUGAAUCUUCCCACACAAAAGGAACCUGAAAUUGAAUAUGUUGAAGGAUAUGAGGAAUUAGAAGAAGAUGAAGAUAUGGAAGAUUUCGGCAACAUAUGAAGUUCUUUCAAAUUAUCAUUCAGUAUUAUGACCCCAUACUAUAGUGAGGAGACUGUCUAUUCUAAAACUUAUUUUGAGAUGGGAAAUGAGGAUGGUGUCUCCAACAUAUGUUAUUUGCAGAAAAUCUAUCCAGAUGACCGGAACAAAUUCAUGGAGUGACUCAAUUGUUAAAAAGACGGUGAGAUGUGGGUGGACAUUGAAGCUUGAGAAGACGUGUAGGAUUUCCUAUUUAAGUCUUAUAUUAGGAUCUUGUUUCACGUGCUAUUGUAGAAUAUAGAGAUAUCAAUACAAUUAGGAACUAAAGAUCUUUCAUUAUUUAAAAUACUUUUCUAAUUUACAUAUCAUAAAUUGUUGAAACAUUAAAGGUAAA